UGCCAGCCGCCGCGGUAACACGGGGGGCGCAAGCGUUAUUCGGAAUUAUUGGGCGUAAAGGGCGCGCAGGCGGUCUUGUCCGUCAGGUGUGAAAGCUCGGGGCUCAACCCCGGAAGUGCACUUGAAACAGCAAGACUUGAAUACGGUAGAGGAGAGAGGAAUUCCUGGUGUAGAGGUGAAAUUCGUAGAUAUCAGGAGGAACACCGAUGGCGAAGGCAGCUCUCUGGACUAUUGCUGACCCUCAGGGACGAAAGCUAGGGGAGCGAACAGGAUUAGAUA
RNAcentral lists this ribosomal RNA (279 nucleotides) under uncultured bacterium. RNAcentral describes it as "partial 16S ribosomal RNA". It matches the Rfam family "Bacterial small subunit ribosomal RNA", at positions 506 to 784 of the family's 1533-position model. The record is from RNAcentral.